ACUCCUACGGGAGGCAGCAGUGGGGAAUAUUGCACAAUGGGCGCAAGCCUGAUGCAGCCAUGCCGCGUGUAUGAAGAAGGCCUUCGGGUUGUAAAGUACUUUCAGCAGUGAGGAAGGUGGGUAUGUUAAUAGCAUAUUCAUUUGACGUUAGCUGCAGAAGAAGCACCGGCUAACUCCGUGCCAGCAGCCGCGGUAAUACGGAGGGUGCGAGCGUUAAUCGGAAUUACUGGGCGUAAAGCGCAUGCAGGUGGUUUGUUAAGUCAGAUGUGAAAGCCCGGGGCUCAACCUCGGAAUUGCAUUUGAAACUGGCAAACUAGAGUACUGUAGAGGGGGGUAGAAUUUCAGGUGUAGCGGUGAAAUGCGUAGAGAUCUGAAGGAAUACCGGUGGCGAAGGCGGCCCCCUGGACAGAUACUGACACUCAGAUGCGAAAGCGUGGGGAGCAAACAGGAUUAGAUACCCUGGUAGGCU
RNAcentral lists this ribosomal RNA (469 nucleotides) under uncultured bacterium. Its description in RNAcentral is "bacterial SSU rRNA". It matches the Rfam family "Bacterial small subunit ribosomal RNA", at positions 335 to 796 of the family's 1533-position model. The record is from RNAcentral.